CAGGGGUCUUGGCUGAAGCAGUCGGUGGCACCCAGGCCUGAGCAUCAUUUCCUGCUCCUCGCACAGAGAGGGUGGAUGCGUCACCAGUUGUAGGGUUUCCCUGUCAACUCUCGUGAAUGGUGCAGGAAAAACACCAGAAUUGCCUAGCUACAGGGCGCCGCCAUUGUGGACACCCAAAGUUGUGCGGAGAAGAAAAGUUGACAGGAGAUCUGAUUGGUCAUUAACAGAAAAUCUUUGUGAUGGAAUUUAAUAGUGAAAUAUAAGUGAUAAAAAUGACAGGUGACAUAACAGAAUAUGUAGAAAGAUACAGAAGUUAUAAGGGAAGAUCUGAGUGGAGAGGUGAUAUUUGGAUGGACAAUUUCAUUCAGUGCGGAUCUACACUAGUUGUAAACAGGCCAAAAUUUGAAGGAAAAACGCAACGGCCAGCCAUAUAUUUUUUGGUGGAAUUUUGAAGGGGAGAUGAUGAACUUUGCUGAAUGGUGACUGAUUUUUUGAAAAUUGGCUUAAUAAAUAAUUGACAGUGAUUGGAAUUUGUAUGGAAGUCUAUGGGAAAACAUUUGGUGGUGUUUGUCUAGUUAAAGUUAUACUUUCGAUAUAUCGGUAAUAGUAUCAAUGCAUGUUCUAUAAAUUCUUUUCAUUUUGAUCUUAGUAAUUCUGUUGGUGUCGUCUAAAUAAAAACUUUCUAUAGCA
This is a long non-coding RNA of Ostrea edulis (European flat oyster), 690 nucleotides long. RefSeq lists it as uncharacterized. The record is from RefSeq and is a predicted model, not a curated record. The transcript has 2 exons. Lineage: Eukaryota; Metazoa; Mollusca; Bivalvia; Ostreida; Ostreidae.